RNAcentral lists this ribosomal RNA (235 nucleotides) under uncultured bacterium. RNAcentral describes it as "partial 16S ribosomal RNA". It matches the Rfam family "Bacterial small subunit ribosomal RNA", at positions 99 to 334 of the family's 1533-position model. The record is from RNAcentral.
CGCACGGGUGAGUAACACGUAUCCAACCUGCCGUCUACUCUUGGACAGCCUUCUGAAAGGAAGAUUAAUACAAGAUGGCAUCAUGAGUUCACAUGUUCACAUGAUUAAAGGUAUUCCGGUAGACGGUGGGGAUGCGUUCCAUUAGAUAGUAGGCGGGGUAACGGCCCACCUAGUCUUCGAUGGAUAGGGGUUCUGAGAGGAAGGUCCCCCACAUUGGAACUGAGACACGGUCCAA